RNAcentral lists this unclassified non-coding RNA (345 nucleotides) under soil metagenome. RNAcentral describes it as "partial contains 5.8S ribosomal RNA, internal transcribed spacer 2, and large subunit ribosomal RNA". The stretch from base 1 to 120 matches the Rfam family "5.8S ribosomal RNA", at positions 35 to 154 of the family's 154-position model. The record is from RNAcentral.
GAUGAAGAACGCAGCGAAAUGCGAUAAGUAAUGCGAAUUGCAGAAUUCAGUGAGUCAUCGAGUCUUUGAACGCACAUUGCGCCCCCUGGUAUUCCGGGGGGCAUGCCUGUCCGAGCGUCAUUGCUGCCCUCAAGCACGGCUUGUGUGUUGGGCCUCCGUCCUCCUCCCGGGGGACGGGCCCGAAAGGCAGCGGCGGCACCGCGUCCGGUCCUCGAGCGUAUGGGGCUUCGUCACCCGCUCUUGUAGGCCCGGCCGGCGCUUGCCGACACAUCAAUCUUUUUUCCAGGUUGACCUCGGAUCAGGUAGGGAUACCCGCUGAACUUAAGCAUAUCAAUAAGCGGAGGA